This 3732-nucleotide long non-coding RNA is filed under the name Mus musculus (house mouse). Its description in RNAcentral is "RIKEN cDNA A530046M15 gene". Lineage: Eukaryota; Metazoa; Chordata; Mammalia; Rodentia; Muridae. The record is from RNAcentral.
GAAGAACAAUGCAAAAACAAGGGAGAGUAAGAGAAGGUGGGCUAGGAGCCAAUCCCUCAAUCUCCCUCUCCCUUCUUCGGUUUCCUUGGAGGCUGAGAAGACAGCUCUGUCGGAAAGAUUUGGCUUGGGUCCUGGCUAGGUCAUGUGAUCUGUGUGUUCAUGGAAAGCUGCCUCGAAGUUCUCGGAAUUACUCAGGAUUCUUUCCCAGUCCUUCAUGGGGCCUCUAAUGAAGUCUGAGCUGUAGCCUGGGGUUGAUGCCAGCCUGGAAUGCAAGGAGACUGAAAGCUGACACCCGUUCAACGGAGCAAAGGGCCUUGCACUGAGGUUGUUGCCAUGACAACCUGGGGCACAACAAUGGCUGCUUUGUUGAUCAAAUGAUUUGGUCAACCAUAUUGGUCGUUUUCCAGAAGGUUGGGCAGACACUGGAGCCCUUGAAAGGUGUGAACGUCUGUGAAGGGGUGGUGACCUUGAGGCUGGCUGGCUGCACUUGAGAUCAGAUCCUCCAGCUUUGGUAUCAGACCAUGCCCGUGCUUUGCUGAUGACACUGCUGUCUCUUGGGAUGCAGUUCUGAACUAAGUACUGCAUUCCACACUCCACGCUCCUGGGAGAGUUUUUAAUCUUUUCCAUUUUUUUUUUUUUUUGGUACGGGUAGAUGGUAUGCAUUUUCUGAUUUUAAAACAAAGUUGUUACAAGGUGGUUUCUAUUUUGAGGUUUUUUUUUUUCUUUCCUAGAAAGGAAAGAGAGGUUAAAUUGUGUUUUAUAUGAAUUCAAAGAAGGCUGCUUUGAGAAUAAAUAGCUGCCUGGCUGUAUGACUGUUGAGGUAUAACAUGACACAUGAUUCUGUGUAUAAGUGUGAUUGCCUUCAGAGGAUAACUGAGAAACUAAACUCAAUAUAUACUUGCCAAAAUAUCUUCUCCUGGGCCAUCUCCUCUCAAGUACAAUGUGUAUUCAGGCACCUGCAACCUCAGUUGUUUGCCUGGACAGCUAAGAGAUCUAUCGGGGGAGAAACGGAGAUCUUAAUCUGUGGCUUUUAGAGACAUUUGGUUUGGGUGUUCAAUCCUGUCUUAGAUGAUGGAAAUAUGUCUUAAGGAAAACAAUCAAACAGACAAAAACCUCAAAAGAAACAAAUAAUACUUUCUGGGACAGGAGAGAUGGCUUUAAGCCUGCUCAGGACCUGCAUUCAAUCUCCAGCUUCCAUACAAAAUGCUGAGCAUGGUGGGUUGUUCCUAUCAUCCCAGCAUGGAGGGACAGGGAGAUGGGAGGUGAACCCCUGGCAUUCACGACCUCACCACCCUACCUUAAUCAAUGAGUACCAGAUCCCAUGCCAUCUUGGACUGGCAGAACUGUGUCCUAAAACUAUCCUGUCAAAUUCUGUCUGGACCAGAGGAGGACAAUUGUAUCAAUACACACCCUGGAGACUGAUUGACAGAUCUGUCAGCAUCACAGACUCAAGAUGUCGAGGAUGCCAGAAACUGAAGGAUAGAGUUUCUGAAACACUUUCCCAUUAGGUGGUGGGCCAUGCUUAUCUUACCUGGUGCCUUCAUUUGGGUUCAUUGCUGUGAAGAAGACAACAUGACCAAGACCACUCUUAUAAAGGCAUACGUUUAAUUGUGGCUGGACUACAGUUCGAAAGGUUUGGUCCACUGUCAUCAUGGGCAGGAAGCAAGGCAGCAUGCAGGUAAACAUGAUGCAGGAGAAGCUGGAAGUUCUACGUCUUGAUCCAAAGGCAGCUAGAAGAGGACUAUCUUCUGAAGGUGGCCAUGAGGAGACUCUCUUCAGAGCUGGAUGGAGCUUGACCACUAGGAGACCUCAAAGCCCACCCCCACAAUGACAUACUUCCUGUAACAAGGCCACACCCACUCCAACAAGACCACACCUCCUAAUAGUGCCAUUUUCCAUCGGCCAAGCUUAUUCGAACCAUCACACUCAGGAAGCCAUUUUGUCUGUUGAGAGAGAGAGAGAGAGAGAGAGAGAGAGAGAGAGAGAGAGAGAGGCAUGUCACUAUCUGCAGAAACCAGGAGAGGGUUUCAGACACCCUGGAACUGGAGUUACAGAUGGUCGUGAGCUGCCUGAUAUGGAUUCUAGGAACUGAACAUGGGUCCUCUGCAAAAGCAGUAUACACGCUGAACCACUGAACCAUCUCUUUGUGGCAGGGCCUACUGCUCCAGGGGCUGCAGGUAUACAUGGAAAGGGCUCUGCCAUAGUGUAACAGACCUACCUCUAGUCCAGGUGAGUCUCUCCCAAAUGGUGACACCUUUGGGGACAGAUUUAAAAAAAUCCAGGAAAACUCACAAAGGACCAAGGACAUGGAGCCCAAGACCCUACUUCUCCUAAACAUCUGAAUCAUCUUCAGGCUUGCCUUUCCCUGGGUAGCAGCUUGUUAACUUUGAAACAAUCGGCUCUUUAACAUCUAAUUUGCUCAAGAAUUUUUGGAUGUAAGUUCUCCUACAUUUCCAGAAGGCUACCUUGUAGUAUAGCCUGUUUCCCAGAACCUGAAACAAAUUAGAUUAAUCAUACUAGACACAAAAUAAAAAGUGCCUUGUGAAGCCGGUCUGGGCAAGCCCUGAGAUUCCCUCAGGUUGCCCAAGGAGAGAGCUUUGGAGUCCUCAGCUGCCACCCACCCUGUGUGAGAACAGAGACCAGAGUCUGAGCUUUGGGGAGUACUGCUGUGUUAGGGUCCAGUCAACUCCCAGAAUUCUCGCCAAUGAAAGAACAGGCAAGCAACAGUCACCCACUUUGGGGUAGCUUUGGAAAAAGCGAUUUUUUUUCUUUGUAUACUCCAGUUUAAAAUGCAAACAUUUUGUGUUUCGUUAUGACCAUCCACCAAGCUAUCUGCACUCCUCUUCUUGACUUGACACCUAUCGUGCCCCACUUAUACACCCCCCCCCCCCGUCUCUGUGUGUCUACAUGCUGGGGAAUGUACCUCACACUGUACAUUUCUUCCUCAAAGCUCCAUGUGCCCUUCCUGAAUGUCAAUGAGUCACAGGGGAUUUCAGCCCCUAACUAGGUUGAUCACAGGCUCAAGUAAGGCAUAAGCCCUGGGUUAACACUCAGCUGAUCUCCCCUGCUCUCCCUUGUUUACUCUGUGUUGAUCAGAGCAGAGGAAGGGGCAGAAGAUUCCAGCAGCCUGGUCUCUGCUUACACAGAGGGGAUACAGAGGUGGUAGACUCUAGGUUUCUUCAGGCUCAGAAGUCAGGGCUUUAGAACCAAAUAGAAGUAUGUCUGGCCAUCUACUUUCAUCACUAAACAUUUCGAGGGCCAUGAAAGGAAAAGCCUUUCUAAUCAUGCCUGUGUCCCCACUAGAGGAAGCAGAAUGAAGCAUCAUUAGCUUUGCUGGGAAUCGUGGUGACUCCAAGCCCACGGCCAAAGGGUCACCCCUCUCUCUUCUAAGGAAUGCUUCUCUAGGUUUCUAUGGAAUUCCAGAUUUAGAAUCUGCCAUCAGUGAUCUACAACUUUCCAAAAGAAUUUGUGACCAAAGUCUGUCUGGCGUCAUGGGAGUUGGCUACGGUAGAGUUAGAAUCUCUGGACCUGUCUGGGUGUUCUACUCCUGGCCUCUCUCUCUUCCCGUGUCCUUAGACAAGUGACUUCCUUCUUGAGUCUGGGCCUCCUUCACUGUUAAAUGGCCAUGCUAAUACCACCUUCUUAGUUAAGGCUAUAGGAGAGAUCAUUAUUUGAAAGAAAAAAGAAUCAUGGCAUUUUUUUUUCUUUAGUAAAAAUAAAUAACUUUUACUC